UCCAGACUCCUACGGGAGGCAGCAGUGGGGGAUAUUGCACAAUGGGGGGAACCCUGAUGCAGCGACGCCGCGUGGGUGAAGGAGCGUUUCGGCGCGUAAAGCCCUAUCGGCAGGGAAGAAGGAGGACGGUACCUGACUAAGAAGCCCCGGCUAACUACGUGCCAGCAGCCGCGGUAAUACGUAGGGGGCAAGCGUUAUCCGGAUUUACUGGGUGUAAAGGGGGCGCAGACGGCAGCGCAAGCCAGGAGUGAAAGCCCGGGGCCCAACCCCGGGACUGCUCUUGGAACUGCGCGGCUGGAGUGCAGGAGGGGCAGGCGGAAUUCCUGGUGUAGCGGUGAAAUGCGUAGAUAUCAGGAGGAACACCGGUGGCGAAGGCGGCCUGCUGGACUGCGCCUGACGUUGAGGCCCGAAAGCGUGGGGAGCAAACAGGAUUAGAUACCCGGGUAU
Molecule: ribosomal RNA, 447 nt
Filed under: uncultured bacterium
Lineage: Bacteria
Description: bacterial SSU rRNA
Rfam family: Bacterial small subunit ribosomal RNA
Source: RNAcentral